GGAGAGGUGGCUGAGCGGGUUAAAGCGCCUUCCUGCUAAGAAGGAGCGGUGGGUUCACCGCCGCCGAGGGUUCGAAUCCCUCCCUCUCCG
RNAcentral lists this transfer RNA (90 nucleotides) under Vacuolonema iberomarrocanum LEGE 07170. RNAcentral describes it as "filamentous cyanobacterium LEGE 07170 tRNA". It matches the Rfam family "tRNA". Rfam says of the family: Transfer RNA (tRNA) molecules are approximately 80 nucleotides in length. Lineage: Bacteria; Bacillati; Cyanobacteriota; Cyanophyceae; Oculatellales; Oculatellaceae. The record is from Rfam by way of RNAcentral.